This is a long non-coding RNA of Bos taurus (domestic cattle), 1204 nucleotides long. The record is from Ensembl. NCBI's taxonomy places the organism in Eukaryota, Metazoa, Chordata, Mammalia, Artiodactyla, Bovidae.
AAGCAGGCUUUAUUGCUGGCACCCCUCCCCCAACCCCCCACCUCCGCAGGAUGGAAUAUCUCUUCUUCCUCAAAUUGCAAGCAGCCUAGAUCAUUCCCCUCACUUCUCAGGGAAGAAAGCCAAGACCCCAAGCGGUCAGUGACUUCUUUUGUCCAAUAGCCCACCAGAGCGGACCUAUGGACACAGAGCCAGGCUGACGGGCGUGUGGCCUCCCUUGAGGGACUGCUGGGUGCGGGCAGUGGGGCUGCUGGACGUGAGCUGAGCCCUCUCUGCCUCCAGAAAGAGGUUUGCGCUGGAGGAGGGGGACAGGAGGGAGAGGGGAGAGCUGAUCCGUCAGCAACUGCAGGCCAGGCUGGGGAGUCCUGCUACCCCACCGACAGCGGAAGGCACCCUGGGGCGGCUGGCCAGAGCCCAGCGGGGACACUCGGCUUCCACUGGGAGCAGUCCUGGUACCCCAGCAAGAAUUCUCCAGAGCCGCUACCAUGUCCUAAGCUGGAAGGAUGCUAGGAUGCUGAGAACAAAGGACACAGGUCUUGCCCUCAAGUGGCCCGCAGCCCAGUGAGAGGGAGCCCAAGUGGCUGGUGUCAAGGGCUGCUCUGAGGUGCCCGGUGGAUACUGACUGGUAGAUGGACUGACGACUUGGCGUUUUCUUGCUGAGCUUCCUUUCCCGGAAGCAACAAACCCCGACAGGGAGCACUAGCCUCUGCUCACCCAGGACUCUGGAAAUGUACUCCCACCUCGGAUCGCUGGCAUCUUGUACCGCUGCCUGCCCACCUGACCAGAUCCCCUCUGAACUCUGCCACCGUGAAGACCUGCUUUCUCUGACACCAGCCAUCUGGUCAGCAGCUGGGAAGUCAAGCCCAAGGUGUCCUGGGACCACCCCCCCCAAAAAAAAAAUGAGCAUCUCCUAUCCUCUGCAGGACUGCCAGGGGAAGAGAAAUGAGAUGAGUCUGUGGCACAGAGAAUAGGAACAGGCCCACUGCGGACAAAAUAAAGGACUGUUGUGCUAAGUGGCUUCAGUUGUGUCUGACUCUUUGUAACCCUAUGGACUGUAGCCCGCCAGGCUCCUCUGUCCAUGGGAUUUCCCAGGCAAGAAUACUGGAGUAGGUUGACCAUGCCCUCCUCCAGGGGAUCUUCCCAACCCAGGGAUUGAACACACGUCUCUUAUGUCUCCUGCAUUGGCAGGCGGGUUCUUUACCACUAG